AAUCGGUGCUCUAGUGGGUGGGGCAGACCCUGGGCUAGCAGGCCCCAGGGAGAACUCCAAUGGCGUCUGUGUCAGCACACCCACACCAGGCCACAACAAUGGCCACCGCCAAUGUCCCAGUCCCUGGAGAGGUCUCACUUCUCACUGAGAUGCACUCAGGGUCUAUCAGAGCCCUAACUAAUACAGUAAUAUUGGCCAAGUGACCCUGAGUUUUAAUUUCUUCAACUGAAGUUUAGGAGAUGGAAUAAGAUUGGUGAUUCUUAAAUUAUAAUCUGUGGAUCAAUGUUCAUUUUGGUAAAGUUCUGCCCAGUCUGUGAUAAAAAGAGAAAACAAGUUGAUACUGUGCUUCUCCUGCACCCUCUGGAUGACCCCUGCAAACUACAUUUCCCGAGCUCCUUUGCCAUCUGGCUUCAGUCUGGGUUUGGCUGAUGGGAGGCCUGGCCUGAGACUGGAGGGUAGAAGGAGAGGAAAGCCAAGGUCUUGAGCCACACUUCCAUUACAAUUGUGCUCCAACGUAUGACACACUGCUCUAGCGACCCACACAGGUCAAAGUUCAGAAGAUGUUCAGCAACUACCAUUGAUUAUCCAGAAUUUUCUUAAUGAUCUUUACUGUUUAUGAAGUCAAUUUUUUCCCCUACCAAUUAAAGGACUCUAAAUUAUUGGAUGUAAAGCAGCUGUAUGACAGUAUUGAAUCAACAAUAACAUGACUAUUAGUGCCCUUAUCACUGACUUAAUUGUCAACAAUUGAUGAAAUUGUCCACUUUUGUCAGUGAAUUAGUCAAAAUACCUGAAAUCAAUGUGCCAACGUGUUUGCUUUUCUUGUAUCAUUCUAGACUGGGUCCAAAUGAAUUUACUGCGUGUGUGUGUAUCUCUGCUUUAAAAGGUAACUUAGGAAUAAAUUUUAUUUUAUUAUAGUAAAAACAAACUUUUUGUAGUAAGUAGUCUUUCUGGCUGAAUUUCAGUGACAGCUGAAUUGAGGUAUUUUGUAGUUAAAUUUGAUUCCCUUUAAAUUGUAGUGCGUGAGAAGGAAAAUUAACUUUUAUACUUACCUGAACUGGAAAUCGUUUUAGAGGAGGAUAAAAGUAGGCAUGCUUGUAAAGAGAAUAUCGUGGUCUAUACUUAAAGACCUGCACAAAGAAAAUAAAUGAUAUAUUCACGUUUAAUGCGCAGUAAAUCUAGAGUAAGUAUAGUCAGGCCAAGGAAGUAUGCUAAAAUUAAUUACCCCAUUUUGUUCAGAAUCCUCUAAUUUGGUUCUCCGAUGCAAAUUUUUCAUCUGUUUAAAAGAACAUUUAGUUAUUGUAUAUUCUUUCUUUUACAUAAAAAGACAGAAAUGGAAAUAACUACAGCUUUUUAAUAAAGAACUUACUGAGAGAGCACAGGCCAUUCCCAAAAUGCUGAGCAAAAUGAAAGCAGUCUUCAUUUUGGUGAUUGCUUCUGGAAUUAAUGAAGUGGUAAAGUUAAUAAAUAUUAAAACUGAGUGUAAUUUUUUUCCUUAUACUAGAGAUUAAGUAUUUGAUUUGCUUUUAUCUAUGUCCAGUUAUAGUUUUGACUAAUUAAGACCAAAUUUCUACUUUUGUUUUAAAUUUCUUCCUUCUAUUUAAAUGCUAGAAGACUGAU
Molecule: long non-coding RNA, 1617 nt
Organism: Diceros bicornis minor
Lineage: Eukaryota; Metazoa; Chordata; Mammalia; Perissodactyla; Rhinocerotidae
Exons: 4
Source: RefSeq, a predicted model, not a curated record